CACGUAGGGGACGAGCGUUGUCCGGAUUCAUUGGGCGUAAAGCGCGCGUAGGCGGCUCGGAAAGUCGGUCGUGAAAUGCCGGGGCUCAACCCCGGGACUGCGUCCGAUACUCUCGAGCUGGAGGCAGGUAGGGGAGAUCGGAAUUCCUGGUGUAGCGGCGAAAUGCGCAGAUAUCAGGAGGAACACCGGUGGCGAAGGCGGAUCUCUGGGCCUUGCCUGACGCUGAGGCGCGAAAGCUAGGGGAGCGAACAGG
RNAcentral lists this ribosomal RNA (253 nucleotides) under uncultured bacterium. Its description in RNAcentral is "partial 16S ribosomal RNA". It matches the Rfam family "Bacterial small subunit ribosomal RNA", at positions 524 to 776 of the family's 1533-position model. The record is from RNAcentral.